GACGAACGCUGGCGGCGUGCUUAACACAUGCAAGUCGAACGGAAAGGCCCUGCUUUUGUGGGGUGCUCGAGUGGCGAACGGGUGAGUAACACGUGGGUAACCUGCCCUUGACUUUGGGAUAACUUCAGGAAACUGGGGCUAAUACCGGAUAGGAGCUCCUGCUGCAUGGUGGGGGUUGGAAAGUUUCGGCGGUUGGGGAUGGACUCGCGGCUUAUCAGCUUGUUGGUGGGGUAGUGGCUUACCAAGGCUUUGACGGGUAGCCGGCCUGAGAGGGUGACCGGCCACAUUGGGACUGAGAUACGGCCCAGACUCAUACGGGAGGCAGCAGUGGGGAAUAUUGCACAAUGGGCGGAAGCCUGAUGCAGCAACGCCGCGUGCGGGAUGACGGCCUUCGGGUUGUAAACCGCUUUCGCCUGUGACGAAGCGUGAGUGACGGUAAUGGGUAAAGAAGCACCGGCUAACUACGUG
RNAcentral lists this ribosomal RNA (468 nucleotides) under uncultured bacterium. RNAcentral's name for it is "partial 16S ribosomal RNA". It matches the Rfam family "Bacterial small subunit ribosomal RNA", at positions 28 to 507 of the family's 1533-position model. The record is from RNAcentral.